UACGUAGGGACCAAGCGUUGUUCGGAUUUACUGGGCGUAAAGGGCGCGUAGGCGGCAAUUCAAGUCAUCUGUGAAAUCUCCGGGCUUAACCCGGAACGGUCAGAUGAUACUGCUUUGCUAGAGUGCAGAAGGGGCAAUCGGAAUUCUUGGUGUAGCGGUGAAAUGCGUAGAUAUCAAGAGGAACACCUGAGGUGAAGACGGGUUGCUGGGCUGACACUGACGCUGAUGCGCGAAAGCCAGGGGAGCAAACGG
This 252-nucleotide ribosomal RNA is filed under the name uncultured bacterium. RNAcentral's name for it is "partial 16S ribosomal RNA". It matches the Rfam family "Bacterial small subunit ribosomal RNA", at positions 524 to 775 of the family's 1533-position model. The record is from RNAcentral.